AAGUCGUAACAAGGUCUCCGUAGGUGAACCUGCGGAGGGAUCAUUACUGAGUGAGGGCCUUCUGGUCCGACCUCCAACCCCAUGUUAUCCGACACUGUUGCCUCCGGGGCGACCCGGCCUUCGGGCGUCGGGGCCCCGGGUGGACCAUUCAAACACUGCAUCUUUGCGUCUGAGUACACGAUUGAAUCAAUCAAAA
Molecule: unclassified non-coding RNA, 196 nt
Filed under: plant metagenome
Description: partial contains small subunit ribosomal RNA and internal transcribed spacer 1
Rfam family: Eukaryotic small subunit ribosomal RNA (bases 1-46)
Source: RNAcentral